This 458-nucleotide ribosomal RNA is filed under the name uncultured Pseudomonas sp. RNAcentral's name for it is "bacterial SSU rRNA". It matches the Rfam family "Bacterial small subunit ribosomal RNA", at positions 925 to 1382 of the family's 1533-position model. Lineage: Bacteria; Pseudomonadati; Pseudomonadota; Gammaproteobacteria; Pseudomonadales; Pseudomonadaceae. The record is from RNAcentral.
ACAAGCGGUGGAGCAUGUGGUUAAUUCGAGGCAACGCGAAGAACCUUACCAGGCCUUGACAUGCAGAGAACUUUCCAGAGAUGGAUUGGUGCCUUCGGGAACUCUGACACAGGUGCUGCAUGGCUGUCGUCAGCUCGUGUCGUGAGAUGUUGGGUUAAGUCCCGUAACGAGCGCAACCCUUGUCCUUAGUUACCAGCACGUUAUGGUGGGCACUCUAAGGAGACUGCCGGUGACAAACCGGAGGAAGGUGGGGGAUGACGUCAAGUCAUCAUGGCCCUUACGGCCUGGGCUACACACGUGCUACAAUGGUCGGUACAAAGGGUUGCCAAGCCGCGAGGUGGAGCUAAUCCCAUAAAACCGAUCGUAGUCCGGAUCGCAGUCUGCAACUCGACUGCGUGAAGUCGGAAUCGCUAGUAAUCGUGAAUCAGAAUGUCACGGUGAAUACGUUCCCGGGCCUU